UAUCUUUGCAAACUUGAAAGAAGACCUUUCAACAUACAUAACAAUCAUUUACAAUAAUAUUAGCAUG
Molecule: non-coding RNA, 67 nt
Filed under: unclassified sequences
Description: S15-Flavobacteria ribosomal protein leader
Rfam family: S15-Flavobacteria ribosomal protein leader
Source: RNAcentral